Long non-coding RNA from Lycium ferocissimum, 1155 nucleotides. RefSeq lists it as uncharacterized. The record is from RefSeq and is a predicted model, not a curated record. The transcript is spliced from 2 exons. Lineage: Eukaryota; Viridiplantae; Streptophyta; Magnoliopsida; Solanales; Solanaceae.
AGGAGAUAAAAUUUAGGUUGCUCUAUCUAGUUUGGCAUGGGGAUAGGGAUAAAACCUCUGUACUCUCCUUCUCAGAUCCUUCCUGAUUGUAUACAUUAAGUUAAUCAAUCUGUUAUAUGAACUUCUUCCUAGGUUUGUGCCAGUUAUUUUAUUCUUCAUUGGUCUUGGUGUUAAAAGUUUGCUUUAGUCGCUCCAUUUAGUGCAAUUAAACUUAUAAGCUAGGAAGAGAAUGAAACAAUUGGUGAAUGGGGGACCUAGCGAAGCGGUUUCUUUGCGUCCUCCCCAGUAGCGGUGGCAAAUGGGCGGUUGGGUCGGGUUUGGGUGGGUUAAAAAUGAGUUGAACUGGGUUUCAACCCAACCAUAUUUGAUGCGGGUAAAACCGGGUUGGGUGUUAAAUGGGCUGGUUGGAAAUGGGUUAACCCAUUUUAUAUGUGUAAUAUUUGAUAAAUUUUCCUUCUAUUCAGAUCAUUUAGUGACAUGGCAUUUUAAUUGGACUGAUAUAUACUCUUCAUCCUUAAUGCGGUGAUAUCUUCCUCUCGGAUUCAUCACCAAUAAGGAAAAGGGUUUUAUGUUGCGGACCGUGUUUUGCCACCAUUCACGUGCCAAUUUUGCUAAUAUCAGCCGUGGGACCUUUCAGUAGUCUUGUGGUGCUAACAGAGUGGAUUUAAUAUGACGCGCUCUUAAUCAAGUCGCUACAGGUAGGCAGUUGCUGUCUCAAGGUUCCUCUUUUCUCAGCUGGAAUUGUUUGGUAGCGACGGGUUAACACAACUCGAGGGGCGACUCUUUCCAGCGUAGUAAUGGGAGUAUUUGUGAUACUGAAACCUUUAUCUUAUUUUGUGUGACUUGCUUAGUAGCAUGCGUUGUGAUACCAUCUUCCAUUUUCACUGGCUGAGAGUUCUCCUAUUUCAUUUUUGCUUGUUGAGAAUAUUCAUUGUUAAUUUGGGGCAUAUAGCUUCCUAAGACCUUCCUGUAUUUAUCUUUACUCUUUACAAACUGGGAGGAAAUGGUAGACAUUAUUAUCGAUUUCCAGUAACUGUUGAAGUCAACGAUUACCUUGUAAUCAUAUUUAUCUCAUAGUCCAAUUGUGACAUGUAACUUUGGAUCUUGACAUGUAAGAUUUUGCUCGGUUUUGAAGAAUUCUAUAAAUUCACCUUA